Molecule: ribosomal RNA, 505 nt
Filed under: uncultured bacterium
Lineage: Bacteria
Description: bacterial SSU rRNA
Rfam family: Bacterial small subunit ribosomal RNA
Source: RNAcentral
GAUGAACGCGGGCGGCGUGCUUAACACAUGCAAGUCGAACGAAGAUGACUAGAAUGAGAGCUUCGGCAGGAUUUCUUCUCAUCUUAGUGGCGGACGGGUGAGUAACGUGUGGGCAACCUGCCCUAUACUGGGGAAUAAUCACUGGAAACGGUGACUAAUACCGCAUGUCAUUGCGAGAGGGCAUCCUCUUGCAAGAAAGGAGUAAUUCGGUAUAGGAUGGGCCCCGCAUCUGAUUAGCUAGUUGGUGAGAUAACAGCCCACCAAGGCGACGAUCAGUAGCCGACCUGAGAGGGUGAUCGGGCCACAUUGGGGACUGAGACACGGGCCCAAACUCCUACGGGAGGCAGCAGUGGGGAAUAUUGCACAAUGGGGAAACCCUGGAUGCAGCAACGCCGCGUGAAGGAUGAAGGUUUUUCGGGAUCGGUAAACUUCUAUCAAACAGGGACGAAACAAAAUGACGGGUACCUGGAAUAAAGAAGCCCCCGGGCUAAACUACGUGCCAGCC